Molecule: long non-coding RNA, 977 nt
Organism: Triticum dicoccoides
Lineage: Eukaryota; Viridiplantae; Streptophyta; Magnoliopsida; Poales; Poaceae
Exons: 2
Source: RefSeq, a predicted model, not a curated record
CCUCCUCCCAAGCCCAUCCCUCCUCCCCGACCCAUGCCGCCGCCGACCCUCUCCGCCCUCGAUAGUGCCCUCCACCGCCGAAUCGUGCAACCUCCACUGAUUUUAAUGGCGGCGGUGCAUCGAGGUCAACGUCGCCUCCCUCCACUCGCAUCUGGUGUGCGAGGUCAACAUCGCCAUCGGGAUUGGUCAACGCCGUCGGUGCAUCUAGAUCGACGCUUGCCUCCAUCCCCAGCACCAGAUCCCACGACAGCACCAGGCCUCUCCAUCGUUCUGCAAGCCCACCGACAACAAGCACAAGAGGAAGCAGUGCUUCUUGGCUCCUCUACUGUCUCUGUGUUGUCGCGCCACCACCAUGCUGAUGCGCCCUACACCCCCAUGGACCUCCAUCUGACAAGGACGGGCGGGUUUCCUCCACCCUGAUGGCGAGCGCAGUGCGUGCCCCUCACUGCUACAGGCUACUCAGAUCCAGCAAGGUGGAAACCAGAUGCAAGUUCUAUAUUUGUUUCUUCAUCGGUACCAUCUUAUUUGUUCAGGUUGGCAUCACAUUGGAAGAUCUUUUGGUCACCAUGUAGUUGAGCUAGUCAACUAGAAUGUCUACAUGGUUAUUCUUAUGUUCACGGUGACAACACAAUCAAGUGAUGCGUGGCUAAUAUGUGAUCUUUUAAGCAUUGCAAGUUUGGUGACUCUUCGGCCGGAGACAUGUGGACCUCUUAGAAUAACGUAGUUUCACAUGAUGGCGGCGAAUUGGUAUUUAGAACAUCUCAUGAAUAUGGCAAUGCCAUUCGAGAAACGACUGAGCAGAAAUAUACAAAAGUGUAAACAUGCCAUUGUUUCCUAGACAUAGUUGUAGCCAUAAGUCAAGCUCAAACAGUUUUUAGCUUAGUUUGGAGACAUAACGUCUUAUUGUCUCAUGUAAAUUAUGUUUACCGAUGUGGCUGGUUGCUACUGAACAGAUCUAUGGAUGUUGAAAUUUUCAA